Leptonychotes weddellii (Weddell seal) is the source of this 1592-nucleotide non-coding RNA. The record is from RefSeq and is a predicted model, not a curated record. NCBI's taxonomy places the organism in Eukaryota, Metazoa, Chordata, Mammalia, Carnivora, Phocidae.
GACUCCACACUGAGCACAGAGCCCAACGCGGGGCUCCAUCCCGUGAUCCUGAGACUGCGGCUCAAGCCGAAAUCAAGAGUCAGACGCCCAACCGACUGAGCCCCCCAAGCCCCCCAGUACCAGUUUCUCUUAGAUGGAUGCCUCUGCAAAUGAGAGGAAGACCCUGAUUGAGGACCCGCUCUCGACCUUGGGACCUUGGGACCCCUGGUGGGCUUCCCUGUGGACAAAGUGAGGCCGGGCUUUGUCAGCUGGAAAGGACGUGCUCACAUGCUGCAGCCCGAGAGUUUCUGCAGGUGAGCCACAGGGAGGCGGACGGAACCCUGUCAGGAUGCACCUGGCAUCUCCCUGACCACACAGAACACCUGACCGGGUCCCUGUUCCCCAGAAACAUCAGCGGCAGGCGCUAGAAGUGGGAAGGGCCUGGUGUCUCCCCUGGGGCAUCGAGGGGGAGGUGGGGCUGACACUGCCCUCCAGCCAGGCCGGGUCGGAGGCUCUGCAUGCCGGCCACCUCCCUUUGCGGCCGUGUGGAGCUUGCCCCCGGGCUCUGCACGUUGGGCAGACAGUGGCGAAAGGAGCAACUGUCCCCAAGUGGAGGUGGCCCCGGGCGCCGGGGGAGUCCCCAGGAAGAGUCGGAACAACAUUAACGGAACGUUCCCUGCGUGGAGGCAUCCCAGGCAGGACACACAGACCUUCACGUGUGGGAUUGCGCCUCACCCUCCCCAACCCCAGGAAGACUGGUGCCGCGGGGCCCUCUUUACAGACGAGGAAACUGAGGCCCGGAGCUUUAAGCCUUGGUCUGGGUGAUGCACAGAGGAGGUGGUGGCCCCGGGGACUGGGCUCAGGCAGCCCCACACCGAUGGUUCAUUUUCUCCGCUCGGUCCUUCAGUGGAGCGCUGGUCUAGCCGGGUGUCCCCGUGGAGGCGCGAACCAAGGUCAGGAGCGCGUCGGCCAGGCUGGGUUCCAGGUCUGUCCUGCUGGCGCGUGUGAGCCCGAGUGAGGCGUGGCCGUGUUCCACCUGUGUCUCCGGCACCUGACCCGAAGCAGGUGCUAACAAGCGUCAAGCACCUUUCAGGAGAUGGCGUGGCGAAGCAGAAGGACUUGUUAGGAUUCCUUCCACCCCAGAAGGGGCAGCCCUGUCCCAGGAAGGUCUGCUUUCCGUGAGGUCCAAGAGGGAGGGGAGAGAGGGAGAUGGGGCGGCAGUGGGCAGAAUGGCUGAGCAGUCUUGCAGAGGCGAGGGGUUCCGGGAGCAAGGGCUCGCGGUUGGGAAAGGUGCCCGUGGAGCUGGGGAGAGGAGGUAGAGAUUCUCAAUCAGCACGUUGAAGUCACGGUCCCCAGGGUCACCGAGUCGCCAGCGCCACUCGGGGUGGUGAGGGUCUCUCGGGUGACGUCCCUCACCCCCGCGGAGCACCGACAGCAUGGUGUGUCCGCAGCAAGACUGAGAUCUGCGAUCUGUCCCUGGGACCGAUGGAAAACAGAUGAGUGUGUUUAUUGGGAAGAUUCCAUUUCUGGCAUUUGUCAAGUGCUGCAAGUCCGUCAGACAUUGCACAAACAGGAACCGCGUGGACGGGCGUGCGGUUGGCCGGGGGGCGCCU